AUGACCUGGGCGCGGACGCGGCUGUCCACGCGGCUCAUGAACGUCUGCCUCGCGGCGCUCUGCCGCGGCGGCGGCCUCGCCCGGGCGGAGUCCGUCCUCGUCGACGCCAUCCGCCUCGGCAUGCCCCCCGACGUCGUCACCUACAACACCCUCCUCGCCGCGCACUGCCGCGCCUCGGGCCUCGACGCGGGGUUCGCCGUCCUGCGCCGGAUGCGGGAGGCCGGGGUGAGCCCCGACGCCGUCACCUACAACUCCCUUAUCGCCGGCGCCGCGCGGAGGGGGCUCACGAUGCGCGCCCUCGACCUGUUCGACGAAAUGCUCCAGGCGGGGGUCGCCCCCGACGCCUGGAGCUACAACGCGCUCAUGCACUGCUUGUUCCGGUCUGGCCACCCGGAGGAUGCCUACCGGGUGUUUGCCGAUAUGGCCGAGAAGGGCGUCGCGCCGUGCGCCACCACCUACAACACACUCCUGGACGGGCUCUUCAGGUUCGGUCACGCGACGAACGCGUACAGGAUGUUCAGGUACCUGCAGAGGACGGGGCUCCCGGUGGGCAUUGUGACUUACAACACGAUGAUCAAUGGGCUGUGCAAGUCAGGCAAGGUGGGGUACGCCCGCAUGGUCCUCAGGGAGCUUGGGAGGACCGAGCAUGCCCCGAACGUCGUCACUUACACGACGGUCAUGAAGUGCUGCUUUAAGUACGGCAGGUUUGAUCAGGGGCUGGAGACCUUCUUGUCAUUGCUGGACGGAGGGUACAUUCCAGAUCUCUUCCCAUACUGCACGGUGAUUAGUGCGUUAGUCAAGAAGGGACGGAUGGAAGAAGCCAAUACCUACAGUGAGCUAAUGAUACGGAGUGGGUUCAGGCUUGACAGUGCAUGCUAUAAUACGCUGAUUUACCUGCGAUUCCAGGAAGGGAAGCUGGAUGACGCGUUUGAGCUGCUGAGUAUGAUGGAAGAGGGUGGUCUGGAGAGUGAUGAGUACACAUUCUCAAUUUUGGUCAAUGGUUUGUCCAAGAUGGGGCAUUUCGAGGCUGCACAUAAGCAGUUAUGUUACAUGGAGAUAAGGGACAUGGAAUCAAAUAUUGUUGCUUACAAUUGCUUGGUGGACGCACUCUGCAAAUCUGAUGAGGUGGAUGCAGCCAUCAAAUUACUUCACAACAUGAAACUGAAGGAUGAUUUUACUUACACAUCACUAGUCCAUGGUCUAUGUAAGGUGGGUAGGUAUCAUAUGGCAUCCAAAUUCUUGCGGAUCUGCUUGCGUGAAGGGAACAGUGUUCUUGCAUCUGCAAAGCGUGCUGUCAUCGCUGGCCUUCGUAGUGCAGGGUUUCAGAAUGACGUGAGGAAAGUUCGGGCAGCAUUACGUAUGGCUAGGCUGUUAAAACCAUAA
This 1383-nucleotide ribosomal RNA is filed under the name Triticum aestivum (bread wheat). Its description in RNAcentral is "partial small subunit ribosomal RNA". Lineage: Eukaryota; Viridiplantae; Streptophyta; Magnoliopsida; Poales; Poaceae. The record is from RNAcentral.